GGGGAUAUAACUUAGUGGUAGAGUAUGUGCUCAGCAUGCAUAAGGCUCUGGGUUCAAUUUCCAGUAUUGCCC
Molecule: non-coding RNA, 72 nt
Organism: Ictidomys tridecemlineatus (thirteen-lined ground squirrel)
Lineage: Eukaryota; Metazoa; Chordata; Mammalia; Rodentia; Sciuridae
Source: Rfam